AUUGAACGCUGGCGGAAUGCUUUACACAUGCAAGUCGAACGGCAGCACGGACUUCGGUCUGGUGGCGAGUGGCGAACGGGUGAGUAAUGUAUCGGAACGUGCCCAGUCGUGGGGGAUAACGUAGUGAAAAUUACGCUAAUACCGCAUACGAUCUAUGGAUGAAAGCGGGGGAUCGCAAGACCUCGCGCGAUUGGAGCGGCCGAUAUCAGAUUAGGUAGUUGGUGGGGUAAAGGCCCACCAAGCCAACGAUCUGUAGCUGGUCUGAGAGACGACCAGCCACACUGGAACUGAGACACGGUCCAGACUCCUACGGGAGGCAGCAGUGGGGAAUUUGGACAAUGGGCGAAAGCCUGAUCCAGCCAUUCCGCGUGCAGGAUGAAGGCCCUCGGGUUGUAAACUGCUUUUGUACAGAACGAAAAGGUUUCUACUAAUACUAGGAGCUCAUGACGGUACUGUAAGAAUAAGCACCGGCUAACUACGUGCCAGCCGCCGCGGUAA
This 498-nucleotide ribosomal RNA is filed under the name uncultured bacterium. RNAcentral's name for it is "partial 16S ribosomal RNA". It matches the Rfam family "Bacterial small subunit ribosomal RNA", at positions 30 to 523 of the family's 1533-position model. The record is from RNAcentral.